This 484-nucleotide ribosomal RNA is filed under the name uncultured bacterium. Its description in RNAcentral is "bacterial SSU rRNA". It matches the Rfam family "Bacterial small subunit ribosomal RNA", at positions 29 to 507 of the family's 1533-position model. The record is from RNAcentral.
AACGAACGCUGGCGGCGCGCCUAACACAUGCAAGUCGAACGAGAAUCCGGGGCAACCCGGUAGUAAAGUGGCAAACGGGUGAGGAAUACAUGGGUAACCUACCCUUGAGAAGGGAAUAACCCGCCGAAAGGUGAGCUAAUACCCUAUACGCUAUCUUUUUUUCGAAAAGGAUAGGAAAGCCGGGUCGAGGACCUGGUACUCAAGGAGGGGCUCAUGUCCUAUCAGCUUGUUGGUGGGGUAACGGCCUACCAAGGCUACGACGGGUAGCUGGUCUGAGAGGAUGAUCAGCCACACUGGCACUGAGAUACGGGCCAGACUCCUACGGGUGGCAGCAGUGAGGAAUAUUGCGCAAUGGGCGAAAGCCUGACGCAGCGACGCCGCGUGGGGGAUGAAGGUUUUCGGAUUGUAAACCCUUUCAUGAGGAAAGAUAAAGUGGGUAACCACUUAGACGGUACCUCAAGAAGAAGCCACGGCUAACUUCGUG